Physcomitrium patens is the source of this 2607-nucleotide RNA transcript. It is a transcript of the gene named putative glycosyltransferase At5g25310, with no coding region annotated. NCBI's taxonomy places the organism in Eukaryota, Viridiplantae, Streptophyta, Bryopsida, Funariales, Funariaceae. The record is from RefSeq and is a predicted model, not a curated record.
GUUUCCAUUUUCUCUUGCAGUCUCCAUCUCCAACCGAAUUUGUUCUUCCAGCUUGUUCACCAUUCUCAUGAGAAGUCUCACCGUUUCGGCUUCUUCUGUGUCGCAGCUGCCGUCUUGAACAACGUUUACCAUGUAGAUCGUGUUAUGACUUGGUGUCCUUUAGACGUUGCUCAUGCAGCGGAAGCGAAAUGCAGAGAGCCUGAGAAAGUAGACCAUGCCGUAUAUCGAUCGACUUUUCUUUGUAGAAUUGGGUGUGAGAGUGACGCAUGGUUUGGAAUCUGGUUGACUUGCAUUUGGACCACCUGACUACUAUGCCUAAAGUGUAAUGACGUUUGCUACACGAUACUGCGGAAAACAUUGGCCUGGAGAAGAGAAUCAAGAGUUGUGCUGAAUCGGAUGCUUUGUUAACGCCAGCGAUCAAGAUGGGUGAUACCUCAGGCUAUUUCAGUAUGCCUUAUACUGCAGAAUAUGAGGCGGAAGUUGCAAUUAGUGUUGACGAUUUCAUGCGCCCUUCAAACGUUGGAUUGAGCUACAGCAAACAGAGUGUGCUGAACAGAGGAAGGAAAGGUGGCAGGUCUGCUAAUUUACCGAAUAAAGGUCAUGAUCAGCAGUCUUUCUAUCAUCUGCAACACCGAUAUACCAAAAUGUUUUCCUGGCCCAUCAUAGCCAUAAUGAUUGGAAUCCUCUUCGUUUUAGUAAUGUUCCGAGGGUUUGCACUGCCACGUAUGGCGACCGGGACAAAGGCUUCGGAUCAAAAUUUCGAAGAGCUUGACGGACUUAGCUCUACUGAGAGCAGAUUAGAUGAAAAAUUCAAUGCAAGAAUUCCCCGGGUGAUCAUAAAAAAGAACCAUGAAAGAACCGAAAAUAUAGGCAUGGUGUUCCGACAAAAGGUUUUUGACACGCUACAAGGAUUCCUCUUGCAGGUUAGUCGACAUAGUCACUUGAGAGACGAUGGAAGCGGAGACGCAAAAGGGAAAUCAGAGGACACUGUAUCCAGCGUCCACAAGCAGCACGAAGUGUAUCAUAACUUUCAUCAUUUCAUAAAAACAUAUGCAGAAAUGCAGAAGACCUUCAAGGUAUAUGUAUAUAAGGAUGGAUACAAGCCACUUGUGCAUGCAGCUAAAACAGGAGGAAUUUACGCAACAGAGGGCCUCUUUCUCAAGCGUAUGGACGAUCCUGGCAACAGAUACACAGUGUCUGAUCCAACGCAAGCGCACAUGUUCCUGCUUCCGUACAGUGUCCGCCAGUUAGUGGACUUCAUUCAAGACCCAUACUCACGGAGUAUGCGGCCUCUAAAGACUUUUAUUGCGAAUUAUGUUGAAAGGAUCACAUCUAAGUACCCAUACUGGAACCGGACACGUGGUGCCGACCACUUUUUCGUAUCUUGUCACGACUGGGCACCACUGUCGACCAUACUUCAUGAUGAGCUUCACAAUAACUCUAUGAAAGUGGUUUGUAAUGCUGAUCUCACAGCAAAUUUUGAUAUUCAGAAAGAUGUUUCUAUUCCGCAGGCAGUUAAGGGUGGAAAUCAAUCAGAAUUAGAUAUUGAUAAUUUACCUCCAGGCAAGAGGGAUUAUUUAGCGUUCUACGCCGGCCAAAUGCACGGCCUUGUGAGACCGGUGUUAAUACAACACUGGAGAGGUAAAGAUUCGAGCAUGAAAGUUUACGAAGUCCUACCUCCCGAAAUUGCUAAAAACAUCUCAUAUGCUCAACAUAUGAAACGAAGCAAAUUUUGCUUGUGUCCUAAAGGCUUUGAGGUUAACAGUCCGAGGAUUGUGGAGGCCAUCUUGAGUGGCUGUGUCCCAGUUAUUAUAGCUGACAACUUCGUUCUCCCCUUCAGCAAUGUGCUGGAUUGGUCGAAGUUUUCCAUCACUGUGGAGGAGAAGGACAUCCCUAAUUUGAAAAGGAUCUUGACCAAUGUACCAGAUGGUACUUAUCGCUCCAUGCAGAGCUGUCUGAAGUACAUCAGAAGGCAUUUUGUUUGGCUUGAAGAUCAGGAGGAUACCCAAUAUGAUUCAUUUCACAUGACCAUGUAUUCUAUUUGGAGGCAGAGCUUGAACUUGAAGAAUAAAUUGGAAGUCUUCCAGGGUCACAUUUUGCCCACUGAGAAUUAGGUUGUGCUCUAUGUCAUAAACGGAGUGCUCAGGAUCUUGCCAAGGCAAUCUUCAAUUUGUGAGCUCAAAUUACUCGUGCUGAAUGCACCUAUUCAGUCCAACUCAAAACCUUUCAAUGAGCAAGGAGCAGGCUUCCAAAUUGCAAGACUUGAAGAAAUGUUGAAGCAAUACAGUGUGAAGGCGCAAAACUUAGAGGCAUGUACAAGAUGCAUGUGCUCGUCCUAUUUUCUUCUCAAAACAGAGAUUUGAAAUAACCAUCUCAACAUUCCUCUCAAUGAUAUGAUCAGCUUUGCAUACUUUUCUAACAAUCCAAACACAACAAACUAUAUCAAUAUAGUCUAAUUCUAUCUUUAUUUAAUGUAAUUUAGAUAAUUUGAGUAUUCUUUUAUUUUCUCACAUAUUUGGUAUUUUGUAAGGUAGAUGUGUACCAGCCAUUUCAAAUAUGCAAACAUAUUUGUAAGAAGGUAUCAAAUGCGUUAUACAUCUUUCUUUU